Long non-coding RNA from Myiozetetes cayanensis, 1350 nucleotides. RefSeq lists it as uncharacterized. NCBI's taxonomy places the organism in Eukaryota, Metazoa, Chordata, Aves, Passeriformes, Tyrannidae. The transcript is spliced from 3 exons. The record is from RefSeq and is a predicted model, not a curated record.
GUUACCAAGUAAAAUCCAUUGUUUUGUUGUCGGGUUUUACAUAAAUCUGCUCUCCUGCAUCCGUGCUCCUGGCCAAAGGGCUCAGGGAUUCGGUUUCACAGAAUCAUGGAAUUGUCGGGGCUGGAAGGGACUUGUGGAGAUCAUCCAGUUCAACCCUCUGCCAAGCAGGGGCACCUGGAGCAGGUGACACAGGAACGCGUCCAGGUGGGGUUGGAAUGUAUGCAGAGAGGAGACUCCACACCCUCCCUGGGCACCUGUUCAGUGCUCUGCCACCUUCACCGAAAAUCAGCUCUCCCUCCUGCUGGGGAAGCGCCGGUGAGCACAGGUGCCCUUCCAAGGGCUCCAGGCAGACCCAAAGGGAUGCAGGACACGACAUCCUCUCCCCACGCAGAGGGAUUUCCAGUGCAAUAUUGAUGUUCACCGUGGGCACAGCUCAUCAGGACCACUGACAUUCCUUUGCCCAGCCAGGACAGCCUGCCCAGGUGAAAGGGCUCCAAGCACCAAGACCCUACGGGGACUUCAGACGAGCAAACGCAGCCCCUUGCCAAAGUGCUUUGUGGGAAGGCCCUGUCAGAUGCACUGAUCAUCUGUUUCACCCCAUGCUUCUUCCGCAAGUUCUGCAUGUCCAUGGUGUCCGGAUGCUGAUGGGAACACCUGAUGGGAUCCAGCUGGUCAGCGGUGCUGCCACGCAUCCUGUUCCUCCUUCUCCUGCUCCUUCUGCUCUUUGGCUCUAUCGGAGGUUCCUCGGUGUCUGAGCUGUCAGAUGCAGAGCUCCUCUGCCUGGGCAGCCAGAAGAAGGCGAAGACCAUGAGGAGGACGUCAGCCAAGGCCCAGAACCACCAGUGCUGGCAGGCAGAGAGCAGCACGCUGUCCUGGCUGCUCUGCUCCAUCUCAUCUAGCAGCUGGAUCCUCCACUCCAUGUCCUCCACCUCCUCAAGCAGCCAAGCCAUCUGCUGCCUCUGCUGCUCCUCAUGCUGGUGCAGGAGCUCUUGAGUGGCCUCUUCUUUCUUGUCACCAACUCUCCCCACACACUGGAAGAUGCUCAGCAGCACCAGGAGGAAAACAAGAUUGGCAGACACGACCAGCACUCUCCAACCUCCUGCACGACAGACCAGCCCUUGCUGCAGGCUCAGUCUCCAGAUAAAUGAGACCAACGCAAGGACCCACUGCUCCCGAACCUCACCGGAAGAGAAGAGAGCGAGCUCUCUGAUCUCCAACUUAUUUACAACGCUGGUUUACAUCAAAAUCUUACGGAAUACUGGGAACAUGAGCACUUCCUUGGUUAUGAGCUGGUUACCAGGAAGGCCUAGACUAAAACCAUCCCAGUUUCCUACUCUGUAUCCUACACAA